CGCCUGGGGAGUACGGCCGCAAGGUUAAAACUCAAAUGAAUUGACGGGGGCCCGCACAAGCGGUGGAGCAUGUGGUUUAAUUCGACGCAACGCGAAGAACCUUACCUGGCCUUGACAUCCAGAGAGCUUUCCAGAGAUGGAUUGGUGCCUUCGGGAACUCUGAGACAGGUGCUGCAUGGCCGUCGUCAGCUCGUGUCGUGAGAUGUUGGGUUAAGUCCCGUAACGAGCGCAACCCCUAUCCCUGGUUGCUAGCAGGUAAUGCUGAGAACUCCAGGGAGACUGCCGGUGACAAACCGGAGGAAGGUGGGGAUGACGUCAGGUCAUCAUGGCCCUUACGGCCGGGGCUACACACGUGCUACAAUGGCGCGUACAGAGGGCUGCCAACUCGCGAGAGUGAGCCAAUCCCUUAAAACGCGUCGUAGUCCGGAUCGGAGUCUGCAACUCGACUCCGUGAAGUCGGAAUCGCUAGUAAUCGCGAAUCAGAAUGUCGCGGUGAAUACGUUCCCGGGCCUUGUACACACCGCCCGUCACACCAUGGGAGUGGAUUGCACCAGAAGUAGUUAGUCUAACCUUCGGGAGGACGAUUACCACGGUGUGGUUCAUGACUGGGGUGAAGUCGUAACAAGGUAACCGUA
This 635-nucleotide ribosomal RNA is filed under the name uncultured Marinobacter sp. RNAcentral describes it as "bacterial SSU rRNA". It matches the Rfam family "Bacterial small subunit ribosomal RNA", at positions 870 to 1504 of the family's 1533-position model. The record is from RNAcentral. Lineage: Bacteria; Pseudomonadati; Pseudomonadota; Gammaproteobacteria; Pseudomonadales; Marinobacteraceae.